AUUGAACGCUGGCGGCAUGCCUUACACAUGCAAGUCGAACGGCAGCACGGGAGCAAUCCUGGUGGCGAGUGGCGAACGGGUGAGUAAUGUAUCGGAACGUGCCCAGUCGUGGGGGAUAACGUAGCGAAAGCUACGCUAAUACCGCAUACGAUCUAUGGAUGAGAGCGGGGGAUCGCAAGACCUCGCGCGAUUGGAGCGGCCGAUAUCAGAUUAGGUAGUUGGUGGGGUAAAGGCUCACCAAGCCGACGAUCUGUAGCUGGUCUGAGAGGACGACCAGCCACACUGGGACUGAGACACGGCCCAGACUCCUACGGGAGGCAGCAGUGGGGAAUUGUGGAAAAUGGGGGAAAGCCUGAUCCAGCAAUGCCGCGUGCAGGAUGAAGGCCUUCGGGUUGUAAACUGCUUUUGUACGGAACGAAACGGCGAGCUCUAAUACAGUUUGCUAAUGACGGCACCGUAAGAAUACGCACCGGCUAACUACGUGCCAGCCGCCGCCGUAA
This 500-nucleotide ribosomal RNA is filed under the name uncultured bacterium. Its description in RNAcentral is "partial 16S ribosomal RNA". It matches the Rfam family "Bacterial small subunit ribosomal RNA", at positions 30 to 523 of the family's 1533-position model. The record is from RNAcentral.